Molecule: ribosomal RNA, 334 nt
Filed under: uncultured eukaryote
Lineage: Eukaryota
Description: partial 18S ribosomal RNA
Rfam family: Eukaryotic small subunit ribosomal RNA
Source: RNAcentral
CCCUUAGAUGUCCUGGGCUGCACGCGCGCUACACUGAUGUGUCCAGUAAGCACCUAACCUCUUCCGAAAGGAACGGGUAACCUUUGCAAAGCACAUCGUGAUGGGGAUAGAUUAUUGCAAUUAUUAGUCUUGAACGAGGAAUUCCUAGUAAGCACAAGUCAUCAGCUUGUGUUGAUUACGUCCCUGCCCUUUGUACACACCGCCCGUCGCUACUACCGAUUGGAUGGUUUAGUGAGGCCCUCGGAUCGGCCCCGCCGGGGUCGGCCCACGGCCCUGGCGGAGCGCUGAGAAGACGGUCGAACUUGACUAUCUAGAGGAAGUAAAAGUCGUAACA